GCCAGUUGCACUUUAAAGAUAUAUAAAGAAAACCAUGCAUAUAAGUUGUACUUUAAGACACUUUAUGUUUGUAUUUAUUCACUCUGUCCUGUUUUUCAUUGUAAUAUUGUUUAUAUGUUAUACACGUAUUUGCCUAUUGUCACAGUGUAUGCUGUUAGAGUGGUCAAUACAUUCUUAAAUAUAAAGUAAUUGUUAUACAGUGGCAACUAAAUUGUGUAAGCCAAAAGUUAGGUUAGGUAAUAAUGAUUGACUUCUGAGAAAAAGCGAUUUUGAUGAAAAC
Molecule: long non-coding RNA, 280 nt
Filed under: Mytilus galloprovincialis (Mediterranean mussel)
Lineage: Eukaryota; Metazoa; Mollusca; Bivalvia; Mytilida; Mytilidae
Source: RNAcentral